This 490-nucleotide ribosomal RNA is filed under the name uncultured bacterium. RNAcentral's name for it is "partial 16S ribosomal RNA". It matches the Rfam family "Bacterial small subunit ribosomal RNA", at positions 30 to 507 of the family's 1533-position model. The record is from RNAcentral.
AUUGAACGCUGGCGGCAGGCCUAACACAUGCAAGUCGAACGGUAACAGGAAGAAGCUUGCUUCUUUGCUGACGAGUGGCGGACGGGUGAGUAAUGUCUGGGAAACUGCCUGAUGGAGGGGGAUAACUACUGGAAACGGUAGCUAAUACCGCAUAACGUCGCAAGACCAAAGAGGGGGACCUUCGGGCCUCUUGCCAUCGGAUGUGCCCAGAUGGGAUUAGCUAGUAGGUGGGGUAACGGCUCACCUAGGCGACGAUCCCUAGCUGGUCUGAGAGGAUGACCAGCCACACUGGCACUGAGACACGGUCCAGACUCCUACGGGAGGCAGCAGUGGGGAAUAUUGCACAAUGGGCGCAAGCCUGAUGCAGCCAUGCCGCGUGUAUGAAGAAGGCCUUCGGGUUGUAAAGUACUUUCAGCGGGGAGGAAGGGAGUAAAGUUAAUACCUUUGCUCAUUGACGUUACCCGCAGAAGAAGCACCGGCUAACUCCGUG